RNAcentral lists this small RNA (675 nucleotides) under Pan troglodytes (chimpanzee). RNAcentral describes it as "retained intron". The record is from RNAcentral. Lineage: Eukaryota; Metazoa; Chordata; Mammalia; Primates; Hominidae.
GGCCUCCCAAAGUGCUGGGAUUACAAGCGUGAGCCACCGUGCCUGGCCAGGCUGUCUUGAACUCCUGACCUCAAGUGAUCUGCCCGCCUCGGCCUCCCAAAGUGUUGGGAUUACAGAUGACUUGGCAGAUGAACUUGCUCUUGUUGAUGUCAUCGAAGACAAAUUGAAGGGAGAGAUGAUGGAUCUCCAACAUGGCAGCCUUUUCCUUAGAACACCAAAGAUUGUCUCUGGCAAAGACUAUAAUGUAACUGCAAACUCCAAGCUGGUCAUUAUCACAGCUGGGGCACGUCAGCAAGAGGGAGAAAGCCGUCUUAAUUUGGUCCAGCGUAACGUGAACAUCUUUAAAUUCAUCAUUCCUAAUGUUGUAAAAUACAGCCCGAACUGCAAGUUGCUUAUUGUUUCAAAUCCAGUGGAUAUCUUGACCUACGUGGCUUGGAAGAUAAGUGGUUUUCCCAAAAACCGUGUUAUUGGAAGUGGUUGCAAUCUGGAUUCAGCCCGAUUCCGUUACCUGAUGGGGGAAAGGCUGGGAGUUCACCCAUUAAGCUGUCAUGGGUGGGUCCUUGGGGAACAUGGAGAUUCCAGUGUGCCUGUAUGGAGUGGAAUGAAUGUUGCUGGUGUCUCUCUGAAGACUCUGCACCCAGAUUUAGGGACUGAUAAAGAUAAGGAACAGUGGAA